Molecule: ribosomal RNA, 279 nt
Filed under: uncultured bacterium
Lineage: Bacteria
Description: partial 16S ribosomal RNA
Rfam family: Bacterial small subunit ribosomal RNA
Source: RNAcentral
UGCCAGCCGCCGCGGUAAUACGGAGGGCGCGAGCGUUAAUCGGAAUUACUGGGCGUAAAGGGCGCGUAGGCGGUUCGAUAAGUCUGAUGUGAAAGCCCGGGGCUCAACCCCGGAAGUGCAUUGGAAACUGGCGAACUUGAGUACGGGAGAGGAAAGUGGAAUUCCGAGUGUAGGGGUGAAAUCCGUAGAUAUUCGGAGGAACACCAGUGGCGAAGGCGGCUAACUGGCUCGGUACUGACGCUGAGAUGCGAAAGCGUGGGGAGCAAACAGGAUUAGAUA